RNAcentral lists this small RNA (127 nucleotides) under Marmota monax (woodchuck). Lineage: Eukaryota; Metazoa; Chordata; Mammalia; Rodentia; Sciuridae. The record is from RNAcentral.
GCCAGGCGCAGUGGCGCACACCUGUAAUCCCAGCGUUUGGGGAGGCUGAGACAGGAGGAUUGAGAGUUCAAAGUCAGCCUCAGCCACUUAGAGAGGCUCUAAGCAGUUUAGUGAGACCCUGUCUCUA